AUUAAUUCGAUGCAACGCGAAGAACCUUACCAAGGCUUGACAUAUACGAGAACGGGCCAGAAAUGGUCAACUCUUUGGACACUCGUAAACAGGUGGUGCAUGGUUGUCGUCAGCUCGUGUCGUGAGAUGUUGGGUUAAGUCCCGCAACGAGCGCAACCCUCGUUCUAUGUUGCCAGCACGUAAUGGUGGGAACUCAUGGGAUACUGCCGGGGUCAACUCGGAGGAAGGUGGGGACGACGUCAAAUCAUCAUGCCCCUUAUGUCUUGGGCUUCACGCAUGCUACAAUGGCCAGUACAAAGGGCUGCAAUACCGUAAGGUGGAGCGAAUCCCAAAAAGCUGGUCCCAGUUCGGAUUGAGGUCUGCAACUCGACCUCAUGAAGUCGGAGUCGCUAGUAAUCGCAGAUCAGCAACGCUG
This 415-nucleotide ribosomal RNA is filed under the name uncultured bacterium. Its description in RNAcentral is "bacterial SSU rRNA". It matches the Rfam family "Bacterial small subunit ribosomal RNA", at positions 945 to 1359 of the family's 1533-position model. The record is from RNAcentral.